UAUUGGUGGAAGUGCGAGUCUUUGCGCAUGCGCGCCAGUGCCAUUGAGCGACUACUGGAAAACAAAAGGGAGUGGGGGGCGAGACCGACGGACAGGCAAAUGUCAAUAUUCAUCCAUAAAUGGCGCAAUUAGACUUUAAACGACUUCAAGCGUCGUUGCUAUUCUUCGAGGGCUGCCAAAAGAGAGGUGACGUCGUUGUUUUUUGUUGAGCGCAGUACAAACCUCAAAGAGAAUCCACAGGUCCUUCGCUUCCCCUCCACCAUACCGUCUUGUCACUGUUUGUUUUUGGGACAAUGUCGACCGAUUGAUCCUGUCAGUUCCCGUAGUCAACUUUAAGGCCGUGAUUGUCAGUCUCGAGGACGCAAGUGAGCUGCGCGCGCAGCAUCCCCGAGGAGAAGCGCUGUCCUCGGUCCUGGAGUCCUCCAGGGGACACUGAACUCCUGACCUCAUUAGGUGUGGAAGUUCUCCCCCUCAAAAAGUCAACCUUAAGCAGCAUCGACAGAAAACGCUAAAUAUGCCAAUUCCAGGCAGAGUUAGUCUACAAACUGCAAUCCUUUUGCUUUGUUUGGUUCAUCUGAGUCUGCCAGUAUGUGUGGACGUCCCGUCGGGGACGGAGGCAGUUCUGGGAAAGAUGAUGAAGUUGACGUGUAUCUCAUGUAUGAAGCGUGAGGAGGUGAAAGUCAAAACCCAUGUGGACUGGUACUACAUGACCAAGGUGGAACAAGGCGUCACACCAGAUAAAACUCUUAUAUACAAAUACGAGGGGAACUUUCCGAUGGAGAUGGAUGGACCAUUCAAAGGCCGCCUGGUGUGGGACGGCAGCCAGGACCUGCAAGAUCUCUCCAUCAGCAUCGUGAACGUCACCUACAACGACAGCGGCGUCUACGAGUGCCACGUGCUUCGCGAAUUUGACUUUGACACCUUCACUCCGUCAGCCUUCGUCUUGAAGAACAUCACGCUAAAAGUGAAAGAGGAAGCCAGCCCAGACACCACAGCCAUCUACUCAGAGAUCAUGAUGUACUUGCUGCUGGUCUUCUUGACCUUCUGGCUGUUGAUCGAGAUGGUUUAUUGCUACCGCAAGAUUUCCAAGUCUGACGACCUGGUGCAGGACACAGGGUAUUGAAGGACCAUGAAGGGACAAUAAAGAUCAACGCUCUCAGAGUCCUGCUAACCGAAUCCCUCCCCCGUGCUCCCCUCGCCCCGAUGCCGUUUUCCUGUGAAGAGCCACAAAUGUCAGUUUCUUACCUUUCUGUGCUAAACUCAAGUGCUCUCAGUAGUAACAUGAGUUCAAGAUCAAAUGUCAAAUGUCACAUACAAAGCGGCUGCACUGCAUGUGAACCUGAUCUCUUAUUCAUGCCAUGUUGUGCCUCUGUCAUGUGGACCCUUUUAUAAAUAGAUACAAUCGAGUCCACACGCGAUCCUACUGCUGUCGCAUCUUUUUGUUUUGUUUUUAUAGUUUUUUUUUUUUUUUUUGUAUUACGUACUAUCACGAGGGUCAUACGGUGAUCACCCCGCGAACUAAAUUUCCCGUAGCACUGAUUGGACAAGCAAUGUCAUGUGAUCAUCUGCAGCCAGUGAUGGUCAAGUGGGCGUGUCAUAACUAAUUGAUGAGUCGGUGUGUCUUUACCUCCAUGGCAGAGGCUCCGUCGAAGCCCUGAGACCGGUUCACUGAAGCCCGAGGGUUCGAUCGAACCCAGGUUCAGAACCAUUGGGCUAAUAUGUUUGUAAGAAGAAUGACAAUCCAGUUGUAUUGUAAUAACGUGCAUUGUUGCUAUUUCUCAGAAAUAUAUCACUAUUAUCUUUUCCCUGCUGCAUUUCUGUUGCUAUUCUCUGCGUGUAUUAAUCUUUAAUCCGUACGCAGCAAUGAGGUCUUGCUGGUGUUCUACAUUCGAGAAAGGUUUCAUCUUUACUUUGUGAUGCUUAUACAUCUUUUGCACUUGAAGUCACGCAACACGGCUCCUGUUCUGCCAAUGUUUGCUUAAAUGCCACUGAAUCACACAUCAACAGCUGUCCUCUGCAAUGUUCUAAAGACUGACCGACAUAUUAGCACCAUUAGCAAAACUAAGCUAGCAUUAUCAAUGUACAAAAGCCGAAGUUAGCCAUGGUUGCUAAGUUUGACGCGUGGCUAUUCCAUAAUAUAGUGUUACUGUCACACAAAAUGUUAUCUUUUGAUGUUUGGCUUUUUUUUGGAAUCUACGAUCAACUGACAAUUAAAAAGAGAUGAUAAACUUACCUGUCUAGCAGUUGCUAAUUUUGCAUCUGUUCUGAAUCCACUCAGCUGCCUGCCAGCAUCUAAUAUGUUCACCAUUGUUUAGGUCUGGAAAUUGUUCAAUUCUUUCUUUUCAUGCUUGAAUUGUCUACUUGUAUGGUUGGGCUAUUUUAUUUUUGAGAGGAGAAUAUUAAACAUAUUUAACAUAAUUCAAGCGUUUAUUUUGUCUGAAACUGCAAUCUCCUACUUUGACAAUAUGAACCGCUGGCGUUAGUCAAAUGUUACAAACAACAAAUAGUAGAAUUGCCCUCAAAUUUGAUGACAAGUGACAUCUGCUAGCACACACUCACAAGAGGAUUACUGCUUUUGCCUGGAAGGAAAAGCAAAACGCGAUUUGAAUUAGGAGGCGUGUUUUUCUCUUCAAGCAUUGUAUUUUCAGACAUUCCACUGCACAGUGUUUACGUCGAAAGGAGGUGUACUGUGUAAAAGCUGAAACACAAUGCUUCAUCGUCACUUUUGCCCUCUACUUUCUCCCGCUCUUAAUUUUGCUGCUGUGAAUUGGGAAUUCCUCCAUUGUGAGACAAAUAAAGAUUCUCUUAUCUUCA
RNA transcript from Hippocampus zosterae (dwarf seahorse), 2814 nucleotides. It is a transcript of the gene named sodium channel, voltage-gated, type III, beta, with no coding region annotated. The record is from RefSeq and is a predicted model, not a curated record. Lineage: Eukaryota; Metazoa; Chordata; Actinopteri; Syngnathiformes; Syngnathidae. The transcript is spliced from 7 exons.